This 2365-nucleotide ribosomal RNA is filed under the name Salmonella enterica subsp. enterica serovar Enteritidis. RNAcentral's name for it is "partial 23S ribosomal RNA". It matches the Rfam family "Bacterial large subunit ribosomal RNA". The record is from RNAcentral. Lineage: Bacteria; Pseudomonadati; Pseudomonadota; Gammaproteobacteria; Enterobacterales; Enterobacteriaceae.
AGCAUUUGCUGUACCGCGUUGACGGAGCGAAGCGACGUCAAACCGAUAAAACAGCAGUGUAAAGUGAGCCGCAGGGCGCUUUGCGCGACAGCGCAAAGGCAGGCGGUUUCGCGUAGCGAAAGCGAAUGCUUUGGGGUGGGGUGACUGCGUACCUUUUGUAUAAUGGGUCAGCGACUUAUAUUCUGUAGCAAGGUUAACCGAAUAGGGGAGCCGGAGGGAAACCGAGUCUUAACCGGGCGUUAAGUUGCAGGGUAUAGACCCGAAACCCGGUGAUCUAGCCAUGGGCAGGUUGAAGGUUGGGUAACACUAACUGGAGGACCGAACCGACUAAUGUUGAAAAAUUAGCGGAUGACCUGUGGCUGGGGGUGAAAGGCCAAUCAAACCGGGAGAUAGCUGGUUCUCCCCGAAAGCUAUUUAGGUAGCGCCUCGUGAAUUCAUCUCCGGGGGUAGAGCACUGUUUCGGCUAGGGGGCCAUCCCGGCUUACCAACCCGAUGCAAACUGCGAAUACCGGAGAAUGUUAUCACGGGAGACACACGGCGGGUGCUAACGUCCGUCGUGAAGAGGGAAACAACCCAGACCGCCAGCUAAGGUCCCAAAGUCAUGGUUAAGUGGGAAACGAUGUGGGAAGGCCCAGACAGCCAGGAUGUUGGCUUAGAAGCAGCCAUCAUUUAAAGAAAGCGUAAUAGCUCACUGGUCGAGUCGGCCUGCGCGGAAGAUGUAACGGGGCUAAACCAUGCACCGAAGCUGCGGCAGCGACACUGUGUGUUGUUGGGUAGGGGAGCGUUCUGUAAGCCUGUGAAGGUGUGUCGUGAGGCAUGCUGGAGGUAUCAGAAGUGCGAAUGCUGACAUAAGUAACGAUAAAGCGGGUGAAAAGCCCGCUCGCCGGAAGACCAAGGGUUCCUGUCCAACGUUAAUCGGGGCAGGGUGAGUCGACCCCUAAGGCGAGGCCGAAAGGCGUAGUCGAUGGGAAACGGGUUAAUAUUCCCGUACUUGGUGUUACUGCGAAGGGGGGACGGAGAAGGCUAUGUUGGCCGGGCGACGGUUGUCCCGGUUUAAGCGUGUAGGUGUGUGUUCCAGGUAAAUCCGGUUCACUUUAACACUGAGGCGUGACGACGAGGCACUACGGUGCUGAAGCAACAAAUGCCCUGCUUCCAGGAAAAGCCUCUAAGCAUCAGGUAACAUCAAAUCGUACCCCAAACCGACACAGGUGGUCAGGUAGAGAAUACCAAGGCGCUUGAGAGAACUCGGGUGAAGGAACUAGGCAAAAUGGUGCCGUAACUUCGGGAGAAGGCACGCUGACACGUAGGUGAAGUGAUUUACUCAUGGAGCUGAAGUCAGUCGAAGAUACCAGCUGGCUGCAACUGUUUAUUAAAAACACAGCACUGUGCAAACACGAAAGUGGACGUAUACGGUGUGACGCCUGCCCGGUGCCGGAAGGUUAAUUGAUGGGGUCAGCGCAAGCGAAGCUCCUGAUCGAAGCCCCGGUAAACGGCGGCCGUAACUAUAACGGUCCUAAGGUAGCGAAAUUCCUUGUCGGGUAAGUUCCGACCUGCACGAAUGGCGUAAUGAUGGCCAGGCUGUCUCCACCCGAGACUCAGUGAAAUUGAACUCGCUGUGAAGAUGCAGUGUACCCGCGGCAAGACGGAAAGACCCCGUGAACCUUUACUAUAGCUUGACACUGAACAUUGAGCCUUGAUGUGUAGGAUAGGUGGGAGGCUUUGAAGUGUGGACGCCAGUCUGCAUGGAGCCGACCUUGAAAUACCACCCUUUAAUGUUUGAUGUUCUAACGUGGACCCGUUACCCGGGUUGCGGACAGUGUCUGGUGGGUAGUUUGACUGGGGCGGUCUCCUCCUAAAGAGUAACGGAGGAGCACGAAGGUUGGCUAAUCCUGGUCGGACAUCAGGAGGUUAGUGCAAUGGCAUAAGCCAGCUUGACUGCGAGCGUGACGGCGCGAGCAGGUGCGAAAGCAGGUCAUAGUGAUCCGGUGGUUCUGAAUGGAAGGGCCAUCGCUCAACGGAUAAAAGGUACUCCGGGGAUAACAGGCUGAUACCGCCCAAGAGUUCAUAUCGACGGCGGUGUUUGGCACCUCGAUGUCGGCUCAUCACAUCCUGGGGCUGAAGUAGGUCCCAAGGGUAUGGCUGUUCGCCAUUUAAAGUGGUACGCGAGCUGGGUUUAGAACGUCGUGAGACAGUUCGGUCCCUAUCUGCCGUGGGCGCUGGAGAACUGAGGGGGGCUGCUCCUAGUACGAGAGGACCGGAGUGGACGCAUCACUGGUGUUCGGGUUGUCAUGCCAAUGGCACUGCCCGGUAGCUAAAUGCGGAAGAGAUAAGUGCUGAAAGCAUCUAAGCACGAAACUUGCCCCGA